Molecule: small nucleolar RNA, 106 nt
Filed under: Olea europaea subsp. europaea
Lineage: Eukaryota; Viridiplantae; Streptophyta; Magnoliopsida; Lamiales; Oleaceae
Description: Plant small nucleolar RNA R71
Rfam family: Plant small nucleolar RNA R71
About the family: R71 is a member of the C/D box family of snoRNAs containing the C (UGAUGA) and D (CUGA) box motifs. Multiple nearly identical copies of this snoRNA have been identified in Arabidopsis, and it is thought to function as a 2'-O-ribose methylation guide for 18S ribosomal RNA.
Source: Rfam by way of RNAcentral
AUCUUGUGAUUUGGACAUUUCUUUAACAAUUCCUUAAAUGUGUUACAUGCUUCAUGGUAGCUUUCCCCAUCAAAUUGUUGAAAUGUAGAUAUUUCCAAUUGAAUUU